CCUACGGGAGGCAGCAGUGAGGAAUAUUGGUCAAUGGCCGGAAGGCUGAACCAGCCAUGCCGCGUGAAGGUCAGUGCCCUAUGGGCGUUAAACUUCUUUUGUGCGGGAGCAAUAAUGGUCACGUGUGGCCAGACGAGAGUACCGUACGAAUAAGCAUCGGCUAACUCCGUGCCAGCAGCCGCGGUAAUACGGGGGAUGCAAGCGUUAUCCGGAUUAAUUGGGUUUAAAGGGUGCGUAGGCUGGGAGGUAAGUCAGCGGUGAAAUGCCCCCGCUCAACGGGGUGAAGUGCCAUUGAUAUUGCCUAGCUGGAAUGCGGAUGCGGUGGGAGGAAGGUGUGGUGUAGCGGUGAAAUGCAUAGAUAUCACACAGAACACCGAUUGCGAAGGCAUCUCACGAAUCCGCGAUUGACGCUGAUGCACGAAAGCGUGGGUAUCAAACAGGAUUAGAUACCCGAGUAGUC
Molecule: ribosomal RNA, 460 nt
Filed under: uncultured bacterium
Lineage: Bacteria
Description: partial 16S ribosomal RNA
Rfam family: Bacterial small subunit ribosomal RNA
Source: RNAcentral